This 90-nucleotide transfer RNA is filed under the name Puniceicoccales bacterium. Its description in RNAcentral is "tRNA-Ser". It matches the Rfam family "tRNA". Rfam says of the family: Transfer RNA (tRNA) molecules are approximately 80 nucleotides in length. Their secondary structure includes four short double-helical elements and three loops (D, anti-codon, and T loops). Lineage: Bacteria; Pseudomonadati; Verrucomicrobiota; Opitutia; Puniceicoccales. The record is from RNAcentral.
GGAGAGAUGGCAGAGUGGUUGAUUGCACCGGUCUUGAAAACCGGCAUACCAGCAAUGGUAUCGAGGGUUCGAAUCCCUCUCUCUCCGCCA